RNAcentral lists this ribosomal RNA (413 nucleotides) under uncultured bacterium. Its description in RNAcentral is "bacterial SSU rRNA". It matches the Rfam family "Bacterial small subunit ribosomal RNA", at positions 355 to 775 of the family's 1533-position model. The record is from RNAcentral.
UGGGGAAUAUUGCGCAAUGGGCGAAAGCCUGACGCAGCCACGCCGCGUGAGUGACGAAGGCCUUCGGGUUGUAAAGCUCUGUCGGGAGGGACGAAAGGAGCAAUCCUUGACGGUACCUCGCAAGAAAGCACCGGCUAACUCUGUGCCAGCAGCCGCGGUAAUACAGAGGGUGCAAGCGUUGCUCGGAUUUACUGGGCGUAAAGCGUACGCAGACGGCGAGAAGGGUCGGACGUGAAAGCCCCGGGCUCAACCCGGGAAAUGCGUCCGAAACCGCCUUGCUUGAGUAUGGGAGAGGGAAGCGGAAUUCCUGGUGUAGAGGUGAAAUUCGUAGAUAUCAGGAGGAACACCGGCGGCGAAGGCGGCUUCCUGGCCCAUUACUGACGUUCAGGUACGAAAGCGUGGGUAGCAAACAG